AAACCAACCGGGAUUGCCUUAGUAACGGCGAGUGAAGCGGCAAAAGCUCAAAUUUGAAAUCUAGUACCUUCGGUGCUCGAGUUGUAAUUUGUAGAGGGAUACUUUGGGGCCGUUCCUUAUCUAUGUUCCUUGGAACAGGACGUCAUAGAGGGUGAGAAUCCCGUAUGAUGAGGAGUGCGGUUCUAUGUAAAGUUCCUUCGAAGAGUCGAGUUGUUUGGGAAUGCAGCUCUAAGUGGGUGGUAAAUUCCAUCUAAAGCUAAAUAUUGGCGAGAGACCGAUAGCGAACAAGUACAGUGAUGGAAAGAUGAAAAGAACUUUGAAAAGAGAGUGAAAAAGUACGUGAAAUUGUUGAAAGGGAAGGGCAUUUGAUCAGACAUGGUGUUUUGCGCCCUCCGCUCCUUGUGGGUGGGGGAAUCUCGCAGCUCACUGGGCCAACAUCAGUUUUGGCGGCAGGAUAAAUCUAUAGGAAUGUGGCUUGCUUCGGAAAGUGUUAUAGCCUAUGGGAAUACUGCCAGCCGGGAUUGAGGACUGCGACUUUUGUCAAGGAUGUUGGCAUAAUGGUUAUAUGCCGC
Molecule: ribosomal RNA, 572 nt
Filed under: Jamesozyma piceae
Lineage: Eukaryota; Fungi; Ascomycota; Saccharomycetes; Saccharomycetales; Saccharomycetaceae
Description: eukaryotic LSU rRNA
Rfam family: Eukaryotic large subunit ribosomal RNA
Source: RNAcentral